GCCAGACUCCUACGGGAGGCAGCAGUGGGGAAUAUUGCACAAUGGGGGAACCCUGAUGCAGCGACGCCGCGUGAGCGAUGAAGUAUUUCGGUAUGUAAAGCUCUAUCAGCAGGGAAGAAAAUGACGGUACCUGACUAAGAAGCCCCGGCUAACUACGUGCCAGCAGCCGCGGUAAUACGUAGGGGGCAAGCGUUAUCCGGAUUUACUGGGUGUAAAGGGAGCGUAGACGGUUCUGCAAGCCAGAUGUGAAAGCCCGGGGCUCAACCCCGGGACUGCAUUUGGAACUGUAAGGCUAGAGUGUCGGAGAGGCAGGCGGAAUUCCUAGUGUAGCGGUGAAAUGCGUAGAUAUCAGGAGGAACACCGGUGGCGAAGGCGGCCUGCUGGACGGAUACUGACGCUGAGGCCCGAAAGCGUGGGGAGCGAACAGGAUUAGAUACCCGUGUAGU
Molecule: ribosomal RNA, 446 nt
Filed under: uncultured bacterium
Lineage: Bacteria
Description: bacterial SSU rRNA
Rfam family: Bacterial small subunit ribosomal RNA
Source: RNAcentral